GUUCUAUAAUCGAUAAACCCCGAUAAACCUCACCAUCUCUUGUUAAUUCAGCCUAUAUACCGCCAUCUUCAGCAAACCCUAAAAAGGAAGAAAAGUAAGCACAAGUGUCUUAACACAAAAAAGUUAGGUCAAGGUGUAGCCUAUGAGAUGGGAAGCAAUGGGCUACAUUUUCUACAACUAGAACAUCCACGAAAAUCCUUAUGAAAUUAAGUAUUCAAGGAGGAUUUAGUAGUAAAUUUGAGAAUAGAGAGCUCAAUUGAAUCGGGCCAUGAAGCACGCACACACCGCCCGUCACCCUCUGCA
Molecule: ribosomal RNA, 303 nt
Filed under: Panthera pardus fusca
Lineage: Eukaryota; Metazoa; Chordata; Mammalia; Carnivora; Felidae
Description: partial 12S ribosomal RNA
Source: RNAcentral